RNAcentral lists this long non-coding RNA (731 nucleotides) under Homo sapiens (human). RNAcentral's name for it is "HSALNT0111625". The record is from RNAcentral. Lineage: Eukaryota; Metazoa; Chordata; Mammalia; Primates; Hominidae.
AGAGUGUUCCUACCCCCACCUAGCUCCAGCUGGCUGCCCAUACAAUGGAGCACAGACCCCAGCAGGGACCCUGCCAACCUGGCUACUUGCCAGGCAGAGCGAGGGAGCAAAAUGACAGAGAUGUCCAGGUGCAGACAGCUGGCUUGGCAGAGGAGGACCGACUGAUUGACACAGAGGAAGAGGGAGGCAAGCCAUGGGCACCGUCCAGAUCCUGGGAAUCCGCCUAUGCCUAGACUCCCAGGCUGCAGCGAAGAGUCACCCUGCAUCCUUCAGGCUCCAGCAACAACUGUUUCUUGUGACUUUCUGUGGGACUCUGAGGAAUGUUGGGAUGAUAAUCACAGGAACCAAUGGCUGCCUCUGGAAAGCCCAUAAUUCUGCACAUUCAUGGAGCUUCACUCUGAUUCCAAAUCCAGAAAGACCACCAUGUCACUUAUGGAGACACUUGAAAUCCUUUCCACAUCUUCACUCAUCACGCCUGGGGUGAGAACUAGGAAUACGUGAAUAAACCAAUAACACGUUACUGAAGUCAGUUUCGAGUUUUGCCUGCUAUGAACUUAGAAACAACUCCAUUUCUCUCAGCACUAGAUGGCCUGUUCAGAGUGUAUGUGUGUGUGUGUGUGUGUCCUCAUGUGUGCAGAGACAGAAAGAGACAGAGGGAGAGAACGCAAUAUUUAGUUUUGAAGAUAUUACACUUAUAAUUAUGCUUUCAGAAGCCUGUUUCUGGGAGUACC